Molecule: ribosomal RNA, 101 nt
Organism: Cercocebus atys (sooty mangabey)
Lineage: Eukaryota; Metazoa; Chordata; Mammalia; Primates; Cercopithecidae
Source: Ensembl
AUAGAACUGUGUAAUGAAUGCACCAAUCUCAUCUGAUCUUGGAAGCUAAGCAGGUUCGGGCCUGGUUAGUACUUGGAUAGGAGACAAUAACAGGUGCUAUA